RNAcentral lists this unclassified non-coding RNA (215 nucleotides) under Hevea brasiliensis (rubber tree). Lineage: Eukaryota; Viridiplantae; Streptophyta; Magnoliopsida; Malpighiales; Euphorbiaceae. The record is from RNAcentral.
AAAAUUGAACUCAUUGCAAUAUCUAAAUCUGUCACGGACGUGUAUAAAGCAACUGCCAGUGGGAAUAUCGAAAUUGAAUUCACUGCAAUAUCUUAAUCUGUCACGGACAUGCAUAAAGCAACUGCCAGUUGAGUUGAAGAUGUUGGUGAAUCUGAAACAUUUGAACUUGGAGUAUAAUAUCCAACUAAAUGUGAUUCCAAGGGGAGUCAUAUCUA